This 282-nucleotide long non-coding RNA is filed under the name Panax ginseng (ginseng). RNAcentral's name for it is "long non-coding RNA (PGIN_LNC001085)". The record is from RNAcentral. Lineage: Eukaryota; Viridiplantae; Streptophyta; Magnoliopsida; Apiales; Araliaceae.
AUUUAUAAUGUAUGCAAAACAAAUACUAUAACAAGUAUGUAAUGUUCAUACAGCUACCUCUAAGAAAAGGAGUCGUGGUCCAACAAUGGGCAAGGGGAUUAUGAAGUCAUUUGUUGCUUUAGGGAGCAAAAUGAAGAUCAAUGUGGAUCCAUUCAUAGGAAGACCUAUAAAUGGAGAUGAAUCUGCAAAGCUUGCAAGUCAAAUUGGCGUAGUAACUCGAGAUGUCCUUCCAGUGCCCAAAAGGUGGAAAGACGUAGAUGAGGAAAAGAGUUUGGAACCAGG